UUUCUUUUUUUUUUUUUUUUUUUUCUUUUUAUCUCAUCUGUAUUUACCUUUUUAAAGCAGAAUGUGAUUGGGCACUGUUAUUUUCACAUUCACAAGCCUUGCUGAGUUACAAGACCUAGGGGAACUUAGGGUUUUGUUCUCAGUACUUUGGAAAACAAGCCACUUGGGGAAUUCCUGUCAAGUUGUUUUAGCUUGUGUUUACUUCUAAGACUAGUACAUGCAGAAUUAACUACAGGGAAUGAAAAAAAUUUAAGAUGAAACUUAAGUCAUCUUAAUUUGGUCUACUAAAGGAAUCCAGCUCAACAGCUAAACACUUCAGACCACAUAGUUAACAGUAACAGUAGGUUACAUUACGUCUUACAACAAACGUUCUAUCAACCUCUUGAGUCAAACCUAUAGUAUCACAGUAUCACAUGUAGAAAUUUUUACCUUCCCCUAGUUUUCAUGCCACACAGAUGUUUUAAAUGUUAACAAAAAUAAACAAAAAUCAUGGAAAAUAUAUUAUCAGAAGGAAUGAAGGUAAGCAUCAAACACAUAGUUCUGGUGAAGCCUAGUCUACUUCUUCCAUGCGUGAUGUGUCAUCAUCUCCUUCCAGGGGUGGCAUUUCUUCAGUUACAGCAGCACUGGUAUCAUCCACAGUAGGAUCAUCCUCAUCAAUACCUAGACCAAGCUUGAUCAUCCUGUAGAUCCUGUUAGCAUGGGUCUGGGGAUCUUCCAGACUGAAGCCGGAAGACAGGAGUGCUGUUUCGUACAGCAAGAUGACCAGAUCUUUCACAGACUUGUCAUUCUUGUCAGCCUCUGCCUUUUGCCUUAAGGUUUCAAUAAUGGAGUGAUCAGGGUUUAUCUCCAGGUGUUUCUUUGCUGCCAUGUAACCCAUUGUUGAGUUGUCUCUGAGGGCUUGAGCUUUCAUGAUUCUCUCCAUGUUUGCUGUCCAGCCAUAUGUGCUUGUGACAAUACAGCAUGGGGAUGUCACCAAUCGGUUUGACACAACCACCUUUUCAACCUUUUUCUCUAAAAUAUCCUUCAUAAUUUUGCAGAGGUUCUCAAAUUUUGUCUUUUUCUCUUCCUGUUUCUUCUUUUCCUCUUCAUCUUCUGGAAGUUCCAGUCCUUCUUUGGUAACUGACACCAAGGUCUUGCCCUCAAAUUCCUUCAGCUGUUGCACACAAUACUCAUCAAUGGGCUCAAUCAUAUAGAUUACUUCUAAGCCAUGCUUUCGGAGACGUUCCACAAAGGCUGAGUUAGCAACCUGGUCCUUGGUCUCACCUGUGAUAAAAUAGAUGUGCUUCUGGUUUUCCUUCAUUCUGGUGCAGUAGUCCUUCAGAGAAACCAUCUCAUC
Rattus norvegicus (Norway rat) is the source of this 1336-nucleotide long non-coding RNA. Ensembl annotates it as heat shock protein 90 alpha family class A member 1, pseudogene 17. Its record names the gene Hsp90aa1-ps17. The record is from Ensembl. Lineage: Eukaryota; Metazoa; Chordata; Mammalia; Rodentia; Muridae.